Molecule: small nuclear RNA, 102 nt
Organism: Rhinopithecus bieti (black snub-nosed monkey)
Lineage: Eukaryota; Metazoa; Chordata; Mammalia; Primates; Cercopithecidae
Source: Ensembl
GCACUCACUUUGGCAGCACAUAUACUAAAAUUAGAAUGAUACUCACUUGCAUGGCCCUUAUGCAAGGCUGACAUGCAAAUUCAUUAUGCAUUCCAUAUUUUU